This 217-nucleotide long non-coding RNA is filed under the name Lathyrus oleraceus (garden pea). RNAcentral describes it as "Pisum sativum (pea) long non-coding RNA (PSAT_LNC028172)". The record is from RNAcentral. Lineage: Eukaryota; Viridiplantae; Streptophyta; Magnoliopsida; Fabales; Fabaceae.
CCUAUAUUUUUAUAUCUAUUUAUUUUUGAAGAAAAUGAUAUUAUUUAGAAGAAUAUAGUUUUAUUUAUAUUGGAGGACACAUAAAUUGAUUUUUGAUAAUCGUACUCGCUAGAGUGCUAAGACUCUAUGCCUACAUACCUCCACAUUAGGUGAAGGAUCAGAGCACCGUAGUUCUUCUAAUUUUUUUUUUAGAUUGUGAAAGUUUUCAAUGCAUCGG